CCUACGGGGAGCAGCAGUCGAGAAUUAUUCACAAUGGGGGAAACCCUGAUGGUGCGACGCCGCGUGGGGGAAUGAAGGUCUUCGGAUUGUAAACCCCUGUCAUGUGGGAGCAAAUUAAAAAGAUAGUACCACAAGAGGAAGAGACGGCUAACUCUGUGCCAGCAGCCGCGGUAAUACAGAGGUCUCAAGCGUUGUUCGGAAUCACUGGGCGUAAGGCGUGCGUAGGCUGUUUCGUAAGUCGUGUGUGAAAGGCGCGGGCUCAACCCGCGGACGGCACAUGAUACUGCGAGACUAGAGUAAUGGAGGGGGAACCGGAAUUCUCGGUGUAGCAGUGAAAUGCGUAGAUAUCGAGAGGAACACUCGUGGCGAAGGCGGGUUCCUGGACAUUAACUGACGCUGAGGCACGAAGGCCAGGGGAGCGAAAGGGAUUAGAUACCCCUGUAGUC
RNAcentral lists this ribosomal RNA (446 nucleotides) under uncultured bacterium. Its description in RNAcentral is "partial 16S ribosomal RNA". It matches the Rfam family "Bacterial small subunit ribosomal RNA", at positions 338 to 795 of the family's 1533-position model. The record is from RNAcentral.